RNAcentral lists this long non-coding RNA (152 nucleotides) under Jaculus jaculus (lesser Egyptian jerboa). Its description in RNAcentral is "Non-coding RNA BC040587 (ENSJJAG00000005727.1)". It matches the Rfam family "Non-coding RNA BC040587". Rfam says of the family: Deletion of this gene is associated with poor survival of osteosarcoma patients. Lineage: Eukaryota; Metazoa; Chordata; Mammalia; Rodentia; Dipodidae. The record is from RNAcentral.
GCUUGAUUUCUCCUUUAAAUGGCAGUGAGGUCACACUCGUGUGUUUGUGACAUAGCAGCAGGUUGCCAUGGAGAUGAUAGCUUUAUCAGUGACUCUGUCUUGCCUUGACUUCCCAGCAAGGUUAUGGAGAAGCAGAUGGGCUGUGAAGGAGG